AGCGAACGCUGGCGGCAGGCCUAACACAUGCAAGUCGAACGGACCCUUCGGGGUUAGUGGCGGACGGGUGAGUAACACGUGGGAACGUGCCUUUAGGUUCGGAAUAGCUCCUGGAAACGGGUGGUAAUGCCGAAUGUGCCCUUCGGGGGAAAGAUUUAUCGCCUUUAGAGCGGCCCGCGUCUGAUUAGCUAGUUGGUGGGGUAAUGGCCCACCAAGGCUACGAUCAGUAGCUGGUCUGAGAGGAUGACCAGCCACAUUGGGACUGAGACACGGCCCAGACUCCUACGGGAGGCAGCAGUGGGGAAUCUUAGACAAUGGGCGCAAGCCUGAUCUAGCCAUGCCGCGUGAGCGAUGAAGGCCUUAGGGUUGUAAAGCUCUUUCAGUGGGGAAGAUAAUGACUGUACCCACAGAAGAAGCCCCGGCUAACUCCGUG
RNAcentral lists this ribosomal RNA (433 nucleotides) under uncultured bacterium. RNAcentral describes it as "bacterial SSU rRNA". It matches the Rfam family "Bacterial small subunit ribosomal RNA", at positions 29 to 507 of the family's 1533-position model. The record is from RNAcentral.